Molecule: long non-coding RNA, 1911 nt
Organism: Herpailurus yagouaroundi (jaguarundi)
Lineage: Eukaryota; Metazoa; Chordata; Mammalia; Carnivora; Felidae
Exons: 3
Source: RefSeq, a predicted model, not a curated record
CCUAUUUUUAUUCCGAGGGAGAAAAAAAAAAUGAUGUUGUAGUUAAUUAUUUAAGAAGUUCCAAAUCACCUUUGACUCAAACGCUUGCACCAUCACCUGUCCCUGAAAGUCUCCCAUUGGCCAGCCUCCCUUCCCUCCCGACUGGGGUCAUUGUGAAAAAAGUUGAGAAUGUGCUGGUAUUUGCAAGGUUCAGACAUGAGGAGGGAAAGAAACUAUGAAAUAGCUGAAAUGUGGGAGCUGUCUCUUAAAUCACCCUUCUCUCUACAUAUUUAGUCCAUCACCAUGUCUGCAAAGUUGACCUUUCAAAUGUCUUUUCAAUCCACCCUCCAUCUUCACUGUUGCUGCCUUCCUCCAAGCCACCGGUAUUUUCCAUCUUGUCCUUUGCUAUAGGGGUCCUGUGAGAUCACUCACCUGGUCUCUGUUAAUCCAGUUCCCAUUCUGAACUGAAUAAUACAAAUGGACACUGUCAUUGUUCCACAUAAAUCCCUUCCGUGCUUUUCCACAAUGAUUAUGAUAGAGCUCAGCAUUUUUAACCACCACAGGGUCAACUUGAUCAGGACUUUCCUGCCUAAGGAGUCUCCUUUGCGCCAGUCCCCACUUUACUCUCUCUGCUCUGCUCACAACUCUCAGAAAUGUUCUGUUCCUCAAAUUCUCAUUUCAGAGUCACCAUUCAUGCUUGUCCAUCUGCCUGGCAUGGUCCCCACUUCUGUGCUUCCUCAGGGAUCUUUCCAGAUCAGCCACCUCUGUAUGUACCGUCACUAUGGUCAGCCUGCAACAGACUCUCACAAAGUUUCUGCAUUUACUGUACUCACCUAUUCCAGUCUGGUUUCUCCUCUUGGUUUAGAAGCUCACAAAGGUAUGGAUGGCUGCCUGUCUCUUGCACCAACCGUCAUAUCCCCAAGUACCUACUUAGCUCAGGGUCUGGCCUACUGAAGGCACUCAAUAAUACACAUUAACCCUAACCAGGUUAGGGAAACUGACUCUUGAGGCUUAUACCUUGUACAAGUUUCUCCCCCAAUUUAAGAAAACGUCCCCCCCGCAAUAUAAUUUCCUUCUCUACUUUCUGCUCUGUUUUUUCUCCCUUUUUACUGUCAAAUUUCUUACUGAAUUUAUUACUAUUGUUAUCUUAGUAUCGUAAUUUACUUAGUUCUUACUGUCAGAAAUUCCAUCAAAUGGAGAUUCAUUGAAUGAGCACAGAUUUGGAGUUUGAGACACCUGAAACCAAGCAUAAAUCCUAGCCCUGGCUAUUUAGUUUAGGUAAAUUACCUGGCUCUACCACCAGUAAGUUAUUCAGGUUCCAUGGAGCUGGGUUUCCUCUUCUAGAAAAUGAGGAUAUUAAUAAUGACUUUAUAGGAUUGCUGGGAGAAAGAAUAGAGUGCAUAUUUAGAAUGUUCCUUUGCAGGAACAUGAUAUAGAUUGCAGUGUCCUACCCAUGUUUCUCAUCCCCACCAUCAUCAGGUAUAGACAAGCGAAAGAACCUGUACUGUUUCUGGAAAUAUGCCCUGGAAGCCACAGUUCUUACUGUUCUAUUGGAACCAGUUUCCCUACACAACCAGCCUAGCCCAAGAAAACGUCAGGCUCUUAGUUAUCAAUUCAGAAAACCAAACUACAUUUACAAACCACCAUCUGAUGUUACCAACACCCCUGACGGGAAAUUUAGGGUAGAUAUGACUGUUGGCAGCUGGGAAAAUCAUAAAGAUGCAUUUUGAUGAGCUGAUAAUGAAAGAAGCUGGUCUUCAGAAACUGUGGAACAAGGGCUGAGCCCACAGCCCCAAAUGGCCAAGGAACCCUAGACUGAGGUAGGCCCAAAGCACUCUUCCAGCACUCUGUCUCCACCAAGCAGAGCACUUAGCUUGCUAUCAUGUUCUGUUACUGUUAGCAAAAGAAAAAUAAAAUAGAAAUGCAACACUA